GAUGCCUGAAGGCUUGUGUAUCAUUGAAUUGUUGACCCAGCUAGAGUGAUUGGCUUUAUCUGAGAAAGCAAACCAUGGAUAACUCUCCUCGAGGGAUGAGAUUAUGCAGAGGGUCUAGAGACAGGUGAACAACUUGCAGCAGGCAAUGAACCGAGUGCAGGGGCAGCUGAAUACCAUGCAAGUCCAGUUUGUUGAGUUGCAGAGUGCCGUCUCUCAGCUCCUUGAUGACAUGCCUGUAGCAUCUGAAAGGGAGGGGAUCUUCCAGACAGACAGCAUCCCUGUGCAGAAGCAGGGGAUCCCCACAACAGGGACCUUCCAGAGCAAGGGGAUCCCCACCACAGAGACCUUCCAAAAGGAGGGGAUCCUCCCCACAGGAACCAAUGAACAAAUA
Long non-coding RNA from Coregonus clupeaformis (lake whitefish), 391 nucleotides. RefSeq lists it as uncharacterized. The transcript has 3 exons. The record is from RefSeq and is a predicted model, not a curated record. Lineage: Eukaryota; Metazoa; Chordata; Actinopteri; Salmoniformes; Salmonidae.